AUGUAUAGCAAACUGAAGGAGAUAGGCAUUUUAGCAGUUGAGGGCUGUUGGGUGGGAAUGCAAAAACUCUCUGCUAAGACUUUUUCAGGUGAACAUAACAGACUUGGCCAAGCUAGCAUCUUAGCUGAAGCAGAUUCUCCAGUGCUCUUCAGUAGGGUCUUAAAAUUUAAAGGUUUUUCUUUUCCUGAGAAAACAAAAUACUUUGUUUUCUCAGGUUUUGCUUUUUGGCCUUUACCUAGCUUUAAAAAAAAAAGCAAAAGAUGCUGGUGGUUGGCACUCCUGGCUUCCAGGACAGGGUUCAAAUCCCUGCGGCGUCUUUGCUUGACUUUUACUUCUGCCUUUCCGUUUUCCUCCUUUUUCUUCAGAUGAAGUUAGGGGAAGUGGAAGUAGCUUCAAACUAUACUAUACCUCUUGAUUGAAUUUGUCCUAAACUGGUUUGUGUUUGUAUUUUCACAGGAAUCUAGUGUAAUUACUUUGCCCUUUUAAUUUUCAGGUAUCUCUCAUGCAUCUGUUGUUUGGAGCAGUCUCACUAUUUUUAAAAAUAGAUGACAUAUUAAUAAAGGUUGAAAAACUUCAUUGGUGUGAUUCUUUUGUGCAUAAGCUGAACUUCUCUAUCCAUGAGUAGUCAGAAGAUGGGUGUCUUGUGGGGGUUCUUGUUCCUGUUUUAACUAGUUGUCUAAAAAGCACACUGCACUGUCAAGCCACCAAAUUUCUAGGGGGGCAGGGGACCCCUCUGGAGGGGGAGGUGGUCUAGUGGGUGAGUGACCCGAAAGACCCAGUAACAUACCCACAGAAAUAAGAAGGGACACUUUAAAGCAGCAGUUGGCCGUGAGUGUGGCUGGAUCUGGAGAGCUGGAGACCACGUGGUCUGGUAGGUUGUCGAUUCCCAAGCUGUAAAGUGAUCUUGUGGUCACCUGUCCUGUGGAAUGGCCAGUGUUCCGGCAGAUAGACCUUCAAUUGCAACUGAAGUGCCCUUUUUAAGUCCUACCCAUCUUUUAAGUCCUUGCUUCUCAAGCCCUGUUCCCUGAAAAGGAGAGC
This 1038-nucleotide long non-coding RNA is filed under the name Sus scrofa (pig). Lineage: Eukaryota; Metazoa; Chordata; Mammalia; Artiodactyla; Suidae. The record is from RNAcentral.